RNAcentral lists this ribosomal RNA (511 nucleotides) under uncultured Prevotellaceae bacterium. RNAcentral describes it as "partial 16S ribosomal RNA". Lineage: Bacteria; Pseudomonadati; Bacteroidota; Bacteroidia; Bacteroidales; Prevotellaceae. The record is from RNAcentral.
CACGGAAUUAGCCGGUCCUUUUUCUGAAGGUACAUACAAUAGAGGACACGUCCUCUUUUUUAUUCCCAACUAAAAGCAGUUUACAGCCCAGAGGGCCGUCAUCCUGCACGCUACUUGGCUGGUUCAGACUUUCGUCCAUUGACCAAUAUUCCUCACUGCUGCCUCCCGUAGGAGUCUGGACCGUGUCUCAGUUCCAGUGUGGGGGACCUUCCUCUCAGAACCCCUACCGAUCGAAGGCUAGGUGGGCCGUUACCCCGCCUACUACCUAAUCGGACGCAUCACCAUCUCAUACCGAUAAAUCUUUGGUUGUAUCACCAUGCGGUAACAUAACAACAUCGGGUAUUAAUCUUACUUUCGCAAGGCUAUCCCCGAGUAUGAGGCAGGUUUGAUACGCGUUACGCACCCGUGCGCCGGUCGCCACUCAGAAGAAGCAAGCUUCUUCCAUGCUGCCCCUCGACUUGCAUGUGUUAAGCCUGUGCUAGUCGUUCAUCUGAGCCAGGAUCGAAACUCC